CAGCCAUCAUUUAAAGAAAGCGUAAUAGCUCACUGGUCGAGUCGGCCUGCGCGGAAGAUGUAACGGGGCUAAACCAUGCACCGAAGCUGCGGCAGCGACGCUUAUGCGUUGUUGGGUAGGGGAGCGUUCUGUAAGCCGUUGAAGGUGUGCUGUGAGGCAUGCUGGAGGUAUCAGAAGUGCGAAUGCUGACAUAAGUAACGAUAAAG
This 206-nucleotide ribosomal RNA is filed under the name Enterobacter hormaechei. RNAcentral's name for it is "partial 23S ribosomal RNA". It matches the Rfam family "Bacterial large subunit ribosomal RNA", at positions 1113 to 1317 of the family's 2925-position model. Lineage: Bacteria; Pseudomonadati; Pseudomonadota; Gammaproteobacteria; Enterobacterales; Enterobacteriaceae. The record is from RNAcentral.